This 612-nucleotide ribosomal RNA is filed under the name Triticum aestivum (bread wheat). Its description in RNAcentral is "partial small subunit ribosomal RNA". The record is from RNAcentral. Lineage: Eukaryota; Viridiplantae; Streptophyta; Magnoliopsida; Poales; Poaceae.
GAGGAACCAUCUGCCAAGUGUCCCCAUGGUGAGACGUCUGACCAGAGCACGAAGGUCGACGACGUUCAGGUCCCCGAUCAGAAGCACGACUACAAAGUGCACCUCAAGGAGGUUUACAUCCACGGCAAGGAAAAGCUGGAUGUCGUAUGCACCAGCAAUCCUGAGGAAGCCAACAAGAUGAUCAGCAGGAUCCUGAAGAGGCUCUACAGCUUGUACCCUCACUACAUCGGCGUUGAUGUCGAGUAUACCAGGGAGGACCAAUCUCCGCAGAGGGCAGCGGUUCUACAGUUAUGCGUGGAGGAACUCUGUUUGGUAUAUCACAUCACGGCGGCAACAAAAUGGCCCAAGAGCCUGCGCCCGUUCCUGAAGGAGGACAGGUUCUACAGCUUUGCUGGCUUCAGUAUUGAAGGUGACAAAGAGAUGCUGCGAAGUUCUGGUUUGGAGAUCAACCCCGACAAGUACGUCGACAUCCAGCGCAAAUGGAGAGUUCCUUUCAAGGGAACAAAGAGAGUUGAAGACCAUAAACUGUGGGGGAUCAGCCCACUGCCAAAUUACCUCAUUGAGUAUGCAGCGAUAGAUGCGUAUGCAACCUACGAGUUGUGGAAGAGAAUU